This 433-nucleotide ribosomal RNA is filed under the name uncultured bacterium. RNAcentral's name for it is "partial 16S ribosomal RNA". It matches the Rfam family "Bacterial small subunit ribosomal RNA", at positions 29 to 507 of the family's 1533-position model. The record is from RNAcentral.
AACGAACGCUGGCGGCAUGCCUAGCACAUGCAAGUCGAACGAGACCUUCGGGUCUAGUGGCGCACGGGUGCGUAACGCGUGGGAACCUGCCCUUAGGUUCGGAAUAACUCCCCGAAAGGGGUGCUAAUACUGGAUAAUGUCUUCGGACCAAAGAUUUAUCGCCUUUGGAUGGGCCCGCGUUGGAUUAGCUAGUUGGUAGGGUAAAAGCCUACCAAGGCGACGAUCCAUAGCUGGUCUGAGAGGAUGAUCAGCCACACUGGGACUGAGACACGGCCCAGACUCCUACGGGAGGCAGCAGUGGGGAAUAUUGGACAAUGGGCGAAAGCCUGAUCCAGCAAUGCCGCGUGAGUGAUGAAGGCCUUAGGGUUGUAAAGCUCUUUUACCCGGGAUGAUAAUGACAGUACCGGGAGAAUAAGCUCCGGCUAACUCCGUG